Molecule: long non-coding RNA, 1697 nt
Organism: Paramisgurnus dabryanus
Lineage: Eukaryota; Metazoa; Chordata; Actinopteri; Cypriniformes; Cobitidae
Source: RefSeq, a predicted model, not a curated record
CAACUGGAUCUGAAGCGUAAUGAUGGUCUUCAGAAGGCCUCUCAUGGUGGCCUUGAUUCAGAGGUUUGAGAAGACUACCAAGCACCAGAGCCAGCUAACAGGUGGACCAAACAUCAAGCCAGAAUUCUGCAUGAGUCAGAAUCUUUUGAUAAUAUUGCCCAAUGCAACAAAUGGAAAAAGCAUGCUUUAUGACAACCUCAGCAGCAGAACCCAUGACUUUCUCCUGGGUAGACGAGAAAAAAUAGUUUGGUAUCAACACCCAUCUAACAAUUAAGGUAAAAGAUAAAGUUUUAUGAUCACUGCAUUCAGGUUAGAGUAUGGGGUAAGUUGACCGUUCUAUGGGUGUUCCUCAAAUGCAAGGUUGCAUGUGGAGGCUGCGUCCAUCUUAGUCCUGGCCUUCUGAGAUUUCGAUGUUAGAAAAAAGCCAGAAUGAGAUGGUUUAGUUUGAUGUCCAAGGCAACGUCAUAAUGGUUUCCGCCCCAGUGAUCAUGGCAUGAAAACUUUAAAGAGAGAAGUUGAAAAUUAGCAAUGCAUCACCAAAAAAAUCCAAUAAUGUAGUACAGUGAAUAAAAGUCAUGUAUCAACUGUCUUUACAACAUGGACAGUUAAACAUUUUGUAAUUAAAUUAAAACAACAAAAUAGAAAACAAGCAGAUUGAGAUGUCCUUCGACGAUGCUUGAUGACGUGGCAGCCGAGACAUGCAGCCUUCUAGGACGGAGCCUUAUUUAAAAAAAUAAUAAUAAUAAGGACGGAGCCUUAUUUAUUUUUAUUUUAUAUAUGUAUAAUGUCCCCCUUUGUAUUUCUUAUUAUUUAAAAAAAAUAUUAAAAAUAAUUUUAAAAGGACGCAGCUGUGCGUUUGAGAAACGACCGGAAACGACUUAUAUGUCGCGAGGCCAUCACGUGACCACAAUAUUUACCAGAAGACCGUUAUUUGCUCGAGUACCCUCAACUUUUUUGUCGCAAAUAACAUUAUUAAUAACCUGUAAAUAAUAAAUUUUGUACACAUUACGUUCCUCUUCACUUUGUAAUAGUAUGUUUUUUGGUUUAAUAGUCGGCUUUAAGUUAGUUUUUCUGUCAGUUUGAUCGUCAAAAUCUUGAAAGUUAUCUGCAGCCACACAUCCACUGUAUACCAAGUUAUGAUGAACAAUUAUGAAAAUGCAAAAGGAUUGAUAGAUCAGUAAACAAGCAACAAAAAGAUGGGUGCUCAUGGUGGCCUCCAAAUAAAUACAUGGACAGGCUGCUAAAGAGGGUCAGGAUGAUGGAGAUGCAAGAGCCAAAGACAGCACAGACCAAACACCAGGCCAGAAUUCUGCAUGAGUCAGAUUGAGUAAUUUUCACUCUAGAGACCCUUGGGUGACCACCAAGGACGACGAAUGCAAACUCCAGUGAGUGUCUCUAAGGUAGAUCCUAAUGCAGAUGGAUGGAAUGUUGAUCCGCCUAACAUGCAAGAGCACUCGUUUUGAGUCCUGAGACCCUGGGGUGACCACCGUGAACAAAUACAGAAGCACUCAAUUUGAGUCCUGAGACCCUGGGGUGACCACCGUGAACAAAUACAGACUGCAAUAGCAGUCUUGACGGUACUAGGAUGAAUGCAAAUAAAGACUAACCACCUGACAUCAGCUGUCCAGUCUCUUGUGGGAAGCAGGUGCUUGUUACCCCAAAUACGGAUGAAGAGUGACGAAGAGGAUGAUGACUUU